ACUCAAAGGAAUUGACGGGGGCCCGCACAAGCGGCGGAGCAUGUGGCUUAAUUCGAUGCAACGCGAAGAACCUUACCUAGGCUUGACAUGCAAGGAAAUCUCCCAGAGAUGGGAGGUCCGCAAGGGCUUUGCACAGGUGGUGCAUGGCUGUCGUCAGCUCGUGUCGUGAGAUGUUGGGUUAAGUCCCGCAACGAGCGCAACCCUCGUCCUAUGUUGCCAGCGAGUCAUGUCGGGGACUCAUAGGAGACCGCCGGGGUCAACUCGGAGGAAGGUGGGGAUGACGUCAAGUCAUCAUGCCCCUUAUGUCUAGGGCUGCACACAUGCUACAAUGGCCGGUACAAAGGGCUGCGAUACCGCAAGGUGGAGCGAAUCCCAUAAAGCCGGUCUCAGUUCGGAUUGGGGUCUGCAACUCGACCCCAUGAAGUCGGAGUCGCUAGUAAUCGCAGAUCAGCAACGCUGCGGUGAAUACGUUCCCGGGCCUUGUACACACCGCCCGU
Molecule: ribosomal RNA, 497 nt
Filed under: uncultured bacterium
Lineage: Bacteria
Description: bacterial SSU rRNA
Rfam family: Bacterial small subunit ribosomal RNA
Source: RNAcentral